This 314-nucleotide small nuclear RNA is filed under the name Erinaceus europaeus (western European hedgehog). RNAcentral describes it as "7SK RNA". It matches the Rfam family "7SK RNA". Rfam says of the family: 7SK was discovered as an abundant small nuclear RNA in the mid-70s but a possible function has only recently been suggested. Two independent studies have found that 7SK RNA binds the CDK9/cyclin T complex (known as elongation factor P-TEFb). The record is from Rfam by way of RNAcentral. Lineage: Eukaryota; Metazoa; Chordata; Mammalia; Eulipotyphla; Erinaceidae.
AAAGAUGAGACUGGGGCUGCGACAUCUGUCACCCCACUGAUCGCCAGGGUUGAUUCGGCUGAUCUGGCUGGCUAGGCGGGUGUCCCUUUCCUCCCUCACCACUUCAUGUGGUCCCUCCCAAAGCUGUGCGCUAAGUCAAAGAGGACAGCCUUCCCUGAAUAGAAACAGACCGGUCUUCAGUCGACGGUAUAUGAGUAGCUGCAUGUCCCUGCUAGAACCUCCAAACAAGCUCUCAAAUAUGAGACUGGCAUUUGGUGGAACUAUACUGCUAAAGGUAAAGAUAUUCUAGGGAGGUAGUUAAUUCGUCUCUCUGA